UAGUCAUAUGCUUGUCUCAAAGACUAAGCCAUGCAUGUCUAAGUAUAAAUGGUAUACAGUGAAACUGCGAAUGGCUCAUUAAAACAGUUAUAGUUUAUUUGGUAAUCGAAAUUACAUGGAUAACCGUGGUAAUUCUAGAGCUAAUACAUGCUGUAAAGCCCGACUUUUUGAAGGGCCGUAUUUAUUAGAUAACAGACCAAUAUUCCUCGUGUCUAUUGUGGUGAAUCAUAGUAACUUAUCGGAUCGCAUGGGCUUCGCCCGCGACAAACCAUUCAAGUUUCUGCCCCAUCAGCUUUCGAUGGUAGUGUAUUGGACUACCAUGGCUUUUACGGGUAACGGAGGAUUAGGGUUCGAUUCCGGAGAGGGAGCCUGAGAAACGGCUACCACAUCUAAGGAAGGCAGCAGGCGCGUAAAUUACCCAAUUCUAAUUCAGAGAGGUAGUGACAAGAAAUAACGGGUCGGGACUAUGUCCCGGGACUGCAAUGAGAUGAAUUUACACCCCUUUUUGAGUAACAGGU
Molecule: ribosomal RNA, 518 nt
Filed under: uncultured eukaryote
Lineage: Eukaryota
Description: SSU rRNA
Rfam family: Eukaryotic small subunit ribosomal RNA
Source: RNAcentral